Long non-coding RNA from Diprion similis, 80 nucleotides. RefSeq lists it as uncharacterized. The record is from RefSeq and is a predicted model, not a curated record. Lineage: Eukaryota; Metazoa; Arthropoda; Insecta; Hymenoptera; Diprionidae. The transcript has 3 exons.
GGGAACGGAAUAUUGACCGUCAUUAUGCGUUUGCAGUUCGUUCGAAGAUGUUCAAUAAGAACACCCGUAUUUGCACUAGG